Molecule: ribosomal RNA, 254 nt
Filed under: uncultured bacterium
Lineage: Bacteria
Description: partial 16S ribosomal RNA
Rfam family: Bacterial small subunit ribosomal RNA
Source: RNAcentral
GAUGAACGCUAGCGGCAGGCCUAAUACAUGCAAGUCGAACGGUAACAUGGCAGCAAUGCUGAUGACGAGUGGCGCACGGGUGCGUAACGCGUAUGCAACCUACCCUUCACUGGGGAAUAGCCCGGAGAAAUUCGGAUUAACACCGCAUAAUAUGGUUAGUAGGCAUCUACAUAUCAUUAAAUCUACGGAGGUGAAGGAUGGGCAUGCGUCCAAUUAGCUAGUUGGUGAGGUAAUUGCUCACCAAGGCUAUGAUU